This 484-nucleotide ribosomal RNA is filed under the name uncultured bacterium. RNAcentral describes it as "partial 16S ribosomal RNA". It matches the Rfam family "Bacterial small subunit ribosomal RNA", at positions 30 to 507 of the family's 1533-position model. The record is from RNAcentral.
AUUGAACGCUGGCGGCAGGCCUAACACAUGCAAGUCGAGCGGAUGAAGGGAGCUUGCUCCUGGAUUCAGCGGCGGACGGGUGAGUAAUGCCUAGGAAUCUGCCUGGUAGUGGGGGAUAACGUCCGGAAACGGGCGCUAAUACCGCAUACGUCCUGAGGGAGAAAGUGGGGGAUCUUCGGACCUCACGCUAUCAGAUGAGCCUAGGUCGGAUUAGCUAGUUGGUGGGGUAAAGGCCUACCAAGGCGACGAUCCGUAACUGGUCUGAGAGGAUGAUCAGUCACACUAGAACUGAGACACGGUCCAGACUCCUACGGGAGGCAGCAGUGGGGAAUAUUGGACGAUGGGCGAAAGCCUGAUCCAGCCAUGCCGCGUGUGUGAAGAAGGUCUUCGGAUUGUAAAGCACUUUAAGUUGGGAGGAAGGGCAGUAAGUUAAUACCUUGCUGUUUUGACGUUACCAACAGAAUAAGCACCGGCUAACUUCGUG